GUUAAGCGACUAAGCGUACACGGUGGAUGCCCUGGCAGUCAGAGGCGAUGAAGGACGUGCUAAUCUGCGAUAAGCGUCGGUAAGGUGAUAUGAACCGUUAUAACCGGCGAUUUCCGAAUGGGGAAACCCAGUGUGAUUCGUCACACUAUCAUUAACUGAAUCCAUAGGUUAAUGAGGCGAACCGGGGGAACUGAAACAUCUAAGUACCCCGAGGAAAAGAAAUCAACCGAGAUUCCCCCAGUAGCGGCGAGCGAACGGGGAGCAGCCCAGAGCCUGAAUCAGUGUGUGUGUUAGUGGAAGCGUCUGGAAAGGCGCGCGAUACAGGGUGACAGCCCCGUACACAAAAAUGCACAUACUGUGAGCUCGAUGAGUAGGGCGGGACACGUGGUAUCCUGUCUGAAUAUGGGGGGACCAUCCUCCAAGGCUAAAUACUCCUGACUGACCGAUAGUGAACCAGUACCGUGAGGGAAAGGCGAAAAGAACCCCGGCGAGGGGAGUGAAAAAGAACCUGAAACCGUGUACGUACAAGCAGUGGGAGCACGCUUAGGCGUGUGACUGCGUACCUUUUGUAUAAUGGGUCAGCGACUUAUAUUCUGUAGCAAGGUUAACCGAAUAGGGGAGCCGAAGGGAAACCGAGUCUUAACUGGGCGUUAAGUUGCAGGGUAUAGACCCGAAACCCGGUGAUCUAGCCAUGGGCAGGUUGAAGGUUGGGUAACACUAACUGGAGGACCGAACCGACUAAUGUUGAAAAAUUAGCGGAUGACUUGUGGCUGGGGGUGAAAGGCCAAUCAAACCGGGAGAUAGCUGGUUCUCCCCGAAAGCUAUUUAGGUAGCGCCUCGUGAAUUCAUCUCCGGGGGUAGAGCACUGUUUCGGCAAGGGGGUCAUCCCGACUUACCAACCCGAUGCAAACUGCGAAUACCGGAGAAUGUUAUCACGGGAGACACACGGCGGGUGCUAACGUCCGUCGUGAAGAGGGAAACAACCCAGACCGCCAGCUAAGGUCCCAAAGUCAUGGUUAAGUGGGAAACGAUGUGGGAAGGCCCAGACAGCCAGGAUGUUGGCUUAGAAGCAGCCAUCAUUUAAAGAAAGCGUAAUAGCUCACUGGUCGAGUCGGCCUGCGCGGAAGAUGUAACGGGGCUAAACCAUGCACCGAAGCUGCGGCAGCGACGCUUAUGCGUUGUUGGGUA
RNAcentral lists this ribosomal RNA (1188 nucleotides) under Escherichia coli. RNAcentral's name for it is "partial 23S ribosomal RNA". It matches the Rfam family "Bacterial large subunit ribosomal RNA", at positions 1 to 1230 of the family's 2925-position model. Lineage: Bacteria; Pseudomonadati; Pseudomonadota; Gammaproteobacteria; Enterobacterales; Enterobacteriaceae. The record is from RNAcentral.